CGCUGUGUGACAAACCUCGCACCGGCCAUUAAAAAAAAGAAAAACCACACGCCACACUGUUCGCCUCUCCCUGUCUUAUCUCCUUCCUCUAGAGAGGUCUGGCCACUUUUAUUCCCCAACGCAAGCUUGUACUGCUCCGGCGAUGUCUUCCCUUCGUAGGCUCACCUCUUUGCGCUGCUUCUUAUCCAUCCCCGUGCCCCUAUUGCUUCUACCGGCUGCUGCAAGGAAUGGCCGGGGGAUGAAGGUGCUGCGCGAAUCGACCUGGGACGCUGCUGCCGCAUAACGGCGAGCUCAACGAGCCCGACGAUGACGGCAAGCAGCGACCUGGAAGGGGAGGAGGGGCACGCCUGGGCCGCCGCGCUUCCUCGACCGCUGCGACGCCCUCCAUGAUGGGCGCCCCAAGAUUCUUCGGCCGCAGGAGGCGUCUGACGGCAGCGGCACGUCUCCGGUCAAAUCCAAUGAAAAACAGCCCUCCUGUCCGGCCAAGCGACCAAGCCCCAAUAGCAAAACCCAAUGGUCGUCGCGCAGCAGAUGCCGUCCAACCAAGUUUGUGUUUCCACAUUGCUUCUUAUGGCAUUGAAAGCGUCUUCAAAGGCUUCCUCUUCCUCAUACUUGUACAUGCAAGCACUGAAAUCAGCAAGUACAUUUGGUCCAUCCUCGUCUUUUUUCUUAUGAGGAACGUGUUGAACAACCAUUUGAAUGAUUCAAAUGUCUCAUCAUAUAAAAGUGCAGCACCAAAAAUGACCAUUUCUCUGAAAUGGUUGAAACCAACAAACACACCAAAGGGUAUGUACUCUUUGUUUGUCCCAAAUGUUGUAUCGAAGUUAACAACAUCACCGAAAUGAGCAUAGUCAAUUAUCAUCCUUGCAUCAGCCCAAAAGAUAUUUGCUAUAUUUUCAUCGCAAUCUAGUUGCAUGUCAUAUUCAAAUGCAGGAUUCUCAUUCUUUUUAUCUCUAAAAUACUUGAGCAUACUUCCAGCUUCACCAUACAUCAAGUCCCUUUGUCGCCUGGUUCGCAAGUGGUUCUUGCGAUCACGACAUGUGUAGCCAAGGUUCAGUGGACCACCAACUUGUCGACUUGCUAACUCAUGGGAUUUUCUAGGUACAAUUCCUGAAUCAUCUGCUGUUUCAAUUUCAAAUGCUUGCAAGGCUGAAAUCUUCCUCUGUGAUGGCAUCAAGUGGCUUGUCCCAGGAGAAUCUUUAUCGCCUACGGAUCAGCUUGCCUUGGUUUCACUCUGAUUAUGAAGGACGAUCAGAAGAAAGAUAGGGCAAAAGGGAGUUGAUCUGCGCCGGGGUUCGGCUCCUUAGCUUGCCUUGGUUACCCUCGGAACAUGGAGGACAAUCAGAAGAAAGAUAGGGCAAAAGGGAGUUGAUUUGUGCCACGUACAGAUCACAGAUCAACGUACCUUUGUCAUAUUAUUUUACAAGGACGAACAGGAGGAAUGAGAAAGAUGAGCGGGACAAAGGCAAAGAGAUCCCUGUUUGGCGCCAAGGAGGUUAUCAGGGUGUGUUUUGUUUGGCGCCAGGUUCUGUUUGGCGGCAAUCCUGCAGCCAUACGAGAUUUUCUACCACAUAAUUAGCUGUUUGUUUCCAUUUAUUAACAGAAUCGAGUGGGGAUAAUGAGAGCCGUCAGAUUUAAAUGGAUGGCUGAUGUGGGUUGGUACAGUACCCGUGCAGUAAUAACGUGACUGCAGAGGAGCCGAAGAGCACUCUCCGUCCGUCAUCCCAGGUUCCACACGAUUUUUCUGCCAUAUCGUGUGCCUGACAUGACCUCACCUGAGGGAGUAACAAUUAAACUUGGAUUAUUUAUGGGGCUGCUAUGCGUCGGCCGACGGAUCGCGAGCAGUCGGAUCCGAUGGUCGACGCUUCGCUGCAGAUUCUCACCCGCACCGCCCCGCCAUCGACUUCCGUCAUUGCAACCUCCAAUCUACUUGGCCCAGGAGGCCCGGCGGCCCUGUGGUUGCCAGUGGCGAGCGAAGGUCGUCUUCGUCGUCACCUGGUAGCAACAGGGGGCGGGCGAUGUUGAUAGAGGAGAG
This is an RNA transcript of Triticum aestivum (bread wheat), 2035 nucleotides long. RefSeq lists it as uncharacterized. The transcript is spliced from 6 exons. The record is from RefSeq and is a predicted model, not a curated record. NCBI's taxonomy places the organism in Eukaryota, Viridiplantae, Streptophyta, Magnoliopsida, Poales, Poaceae.